GAUGAACGCUAGCUACAGGCUUAACACAUGCAAGUCGAGGGACCGGCGCACGGGUGAGUCAUGUCUGGGAAACUGCCUGAUGGAGGGGGAUAACUACUGGAAACGGUAGCUAAUACCGCAUACCAUCAGAUGUUCCCAGAUGGGAUUAGGUAGUAGGUGGGGUAACGGCUCACCUAGGCGACGAUCCCUAGCUGGUCUGAGAGGAUGACCAGCCACACUGGAACUGAGACACGGUCCAGACUCCUACGGGAGGCAGCAGUGGGGAAUAUUGCACAAUGGGCGCAAGCCUGAUGCAGCCAUGCCGCGUGUGUGAAGAAGGCCUUCGGGUUGUAAAGCACUUUUGGCAGGAAAGCGGUACCUGCAGAAUAAGCACCGGCUAACUACGUGCCAGCAGCCGCGGUAAUUC
This 406-nucleotide ribosomal RNA is filed under the name uncultured bacterium. RNAcentral describes it as "partial 16S ribosomal RNA". It matches the Rfam family "Bacterial small subunit ribosomal RNA", at positions 28 to 526 of the family's 1533-position model. The record is from RNAcentral.